UAGAGUUUGAUCAUGGCUCAGGACGAACGCUGGCGGCGUGCUUAACACAUGCAAGUCGAGCGGUAAGGCCCUUCGGGGUACACGAGCGGCGAACGGGUGAGUAACACGUGGGUGAUCUGCCCUGUACUUCGGGAUAAGCCUGGGAAACUGGGUCUAAUACCGGAUAUGACCUUACAUCGCAUGGUGUUUGGUGGAAAGAUUUAUCGGUACAGGAUGGGCCCGCGGCCUAUCAGCUUGUUGGUGGGGUAAUGGCCUACCAAGGCGACGACGGGUAGCCGGCCUGAGAGGGCGACCGGCCACACUGGGACUGAGACACGGCCCAGACUCCUACGGGAGGCAGCAGUGGGGAAUAUUGCACAAUGGGCGAAAGCCUGAUGCAGCGACGCCGCGUGAGGGAUGACGGCCUUCGGGUUGUAAACCUCUUUCGACAGGGACGAAGCGCAAGUGACGGUACCUGUAGAAGAAGCACCGGCCAACUACGUGCCAGCAGCCGCGGUAAUACGUAGGGUGCGAGCGUUGUCCGGAAUUACUGGGCGUAAAGAGCUUGUAGGCGGUUUGUCGCGUCGUCCGUGAAAACUUGGGGCUCAACCCCAAGCUUGCGGGCGAUACGGGCAGACUUGAGUACUGCAGGGGAGACUGGAAUUCCUGGUGUAGCGGUGAAAUGCGCAGAUAUCAGGAGGAACACCGGUGGCGAAGGCGGGUCUCUGGGCAGUAACUGACGCUGAGAAGCGAAAGCGUGGGUAGCGAACAGGAUUAGAUACCCUGGUAGUCCACGCCGUAAACGGUGGGCGCUAGGUGUGGGUUUCCUUCCACGGGAUCCGUGCCGUAGCUAACGCAUUAAGCGCCCCGCCCGGGAGUACG
Molecule: ribosomal RNA, 861 nt
Filed under: Nocardia farcinica
Lineage: Bacteria; Bacillati; Actinomycetota; Actinomycetes; Mycobacteriales; Nocardiaceae
Description: bacterial SSU rRNA
Rfam family: Bacterial small subunit ribosomal RNA
Source: RNAcentral